GUGUGUUUGUGGGUGCGGGGUGUGUGUGUUUGUGUGUGUGUGCGCGGGUGCGGGAGGCGCGCGCCAGCCGCCCUUCCCCUACACGUUGAUCUUAUUCGAUCGGCCGGGCCGGGCCGGGCCGAGGUGAGAAGAAGCGGCGCCGCGAAGCCCCGGGCGGUGUGCGGCGGCCGGCGGCGGGCGGGAUGAGUCGAUCAGAUAGGCGAGGCCGCGGCCGCUGAGCGCCCUGCGAUUCUGACCCGC
This 240-nucleotide small nucleolar RNA is filed under the name Otus sunia (Oriental scops-owl). Its description in RNAcentral is "Small Cajal body-specific RNA 2 (ENSOSUG00000011071.1)". It matches the Rfam family "Small Cajal body-specific RNA 2", at positions 74 to 420 of the family's 420-position model. The record is from Rfam by way of RNAcentral. Lineage: Eukaryota; Metazoa; Chordata; Aves; Strigiformes; Strigidae.